Molecule: ribosomal RNA, 985 nt
Filed under: uncultured fungus
Lineage: Eukaryota; Fungi
Description: eukaryotic LSU rRNA
Rfam family: Eukaryotic large subunit ribosomal RNA (bases 336-985)
Source: RNAcentral
AUCGAUGAAGAACGCAGCGAAAUGCGAUAAGUAAUGUGAAUUGCAGAAUUCAGUGAAUCAUCGAAUCUUUGAACGCACCUUGCGCUCCUUGGUAUUCCGAGGAGCAUGCCUGUUUGAGUGUCUUGAAGUCAUCAACCCCUCCCGUUUCGUGCGGGAAGGGUUGGAUGUGGGGGCUCUGCUGCCGCGAGGCGGCUCCCCUCAAAUGCAUCGGUUGGGCCUGUGGGUCGAACUCGACUGGGCGUUGUACCAUCCUCGCUCGACAGAGACGUUCCCCUUCUGCGCCCUCCCCCGACCUGCCUAUCAGAGUGGCGGUCAAGCAAACAAACUUUGAAAUCUGACCUCAAAUCAGGUAGGACUACCCGCUGAACUUAAGCAUAUCAAUAAGCGGAGGAAAAGAAACUAACAAGGAUUCCCCUAGUAACUGCGAGUGAAGCGGGAAAAGCUCAAAUUUGAAAUCUGGCGGCUCCGUCGCCCGAGUUGUAUUCUGGAGAAGCGUUUUCCGCGUCGGACCGUGUACAAGUGCCUUGGAACAGGACGUCAUAGAGGGUGAGAAUCCCGUCUUUGACACGGAUGCCCGAUGCUCUGUGAUGCGCUCUCGAAGAGUCGAGUUGUUUGGGAAUGCAGCUCAAAACGGGUGGUAAAUUCCAUCUAAAGCUAAAUAUUGGCGAGAGACCGAUAGCGAACAAGUACCGUGAGGGAAAGAUGAAAAGCACUUUGGAAAGAGAGUAAAACAGUACGUGAAAUUGUUGAAAGGGAAACGCUUGAAGUCAGUCGCGUCUGCCGGAACUCAGCCUUGCUUCUGCUUGGUGCACUUUCCGGCCUGACGGGCCAGCAUCGGUUUCGAGCGGUGGACAAUGGCGAGGGGAAGGUGGCAGCUCCGGCUGUGUUAUAGCCCCCCGCCGCAAACGCCGCCCGGGACCGAGGAAUCCGGCGCAAGCCUGGGAUGCUGGCGUAAUGGCUUUAAACGACCCGUCUUGAAACACGG